Molecule: ribosomal RNA, 989 nt
Filed under: human oral metagenome
Description: bacterial LSU rRNA
Rfam family: Bacterial large subunit ribosomal RNA
Source: RNAcentral
AUAACGGUCCUAAGGUAGCGAAAUUCCUUGUCGGGUAAGUUCCGACCCGCACGAAUGGCGUAACGAUGGCCACACUGUCUCCUCCCGAGACUCAGCGAAGUUGAAGUGGUUGUGAAGAUGCAAUCUACCCGCUGCUAGACGGAAAGACCCCGUGAACCUUUACUGUAGCUUUGCAUUGGACUUUGAAGUCACUUGUGUAGGAUAGGUGGGAGGCUUAGAAGCAGAGACGCCAGUCUCUGUGGAGCCGUCCUUGAAAUACCACCCUGGUGUCUUUGAGGUUCUAACCCAGACCCGUUAUCCGGGUCGGGGACCGUGCAUGGUAGGCAGUUUGACUGGGGCGGUCUCCUCCCAAAGAGUAACGGAGGAGUUCGAAGGUUACCUAGGUCCGGUCGGAAAUCGGACUGAUAGUGCAAUGGCAAAAGGUAGCUUAACUGCGAGACCGACAAGUCGAGCAGGUGCGAAAGCAGGACAUAGUGAUCCGGUGGUUCUGUAUGGAAGGGCCAUCGCUCAACGGAUAAAAGGUACUCCGGGGAUAACAGGCUGAUUCCGCCCAAGAGUUCAUAUCGACGGCGGAGUUUGGCACCUCGAUGUCGGCUCAUCACAUCCUGGGGCUGUAGUCGGUCCCAAGGGUAUGGCUGUUCGCCAUUUAAAGUGGUACGUGAGCUGGGUUUAAAACGUCGUGAGACAGUUUGGUCCCUAUCUGCAGUGGGCGUUGGAAGUUUGACGGGGGCUGCUCCUAGUACGAGAGGACCGGAGUGGACGAACCUCUGGUGUACCGGUUGUCACGCCAGUGGCAUCGCCGGGUAGCUAAGUUCGGAAGAGAUAAGCGCUGAAAGCAUCUAAGCGCGAAACUCGCCUGAAGAUGAGACUUCCCUCGCGGUUUAACCGCACUAAAGAGUCGUUCGAGACCAGGACGUUGAUAGGUGGGGUGUGGAAGCGCGGUAACGUGUGAAGCUAACCCAUACUAAUUGCUCGUGAGGCUUGACUCU